GAUGAAGAACGCAGCGAAAUGCGAUAAGUAAUGUGAAUUGCAGAAUUCAGUGAAUCAUCGAAUCUUUGAACGCACAUUGCGCCCCCUGGUAUUCCGGGGGGCAUGCCUGUCCGAGUGUCAUUACAACCCUCAAGCUCAGCUUGGUGUUGGGCCCCGCCGCCCCGGCGGGCCCUAAAGUCAGUGGCGGUGCCGUCCGGCUCCGAGCGUAGUAAUUCUUCUCGCUCUGGAGGUCCGGUCGUGUGCUCGCCAGCAACCCCCAAUUUUUUUCAGGUUGACCUCGGAUCAGGUAGGGAUACCCGCUGAACUUAAGCAUAUCAAUAAGCGGAGGA
This 329-nucleotide unclassified non-coding RNA is filed under the name soil metagenome. RNAcentral describes it as "partial contains 5.8S ribosomal RNA, internal transcribed spacer 2, and large subunit ribosomal RNA". The stretch from base 1 to 120 matches the Rfam family "5.8S ribosomal RNA", at positions 35 to 154 of the family's 154-position model. The record is from RNAcentral.